Molecule: unclassified non-coding RNA, 319 nt
Filed under: plant metagenome
Description: partial contains 5.8S ribosomal RNA, internal transcribed spacer 2, and large subunit ribosomal RNA
Rfam family: 5.8S ribosomal RNA (bases 1-104)
Source: RNAcentral
AAAUGCGAUAAGUAAUGUGAAUUGCAGAAUUCAGUGAAUCAUCGAAUCUUUGAACGCACAUUGCGCCCGCCAGUAUUCUGGCGGGCAUGCCUGUUCGAGCGUCAUUACAACCCUCAGGCCCCCGGGCCUGGCGUUGGGGAUCGGCGGAAGCCCCCUGCGGGCACAACGCCGUCCCCCAAAUACAGUGGCGGUCCCGCCGCAGCUUCCAUUGCGUAGUAGCUAACACCUCGCAACUGGAGAGCGGCGCGGCCACGCCGCAAAACACCCAACUUCUGAAUGUUGACCUCGAAUCAGGUAGGAAUACCCGCUGAACUUAAGC